UACGUAGGGUGCGAGCGUUAAUCGGAAUUACUGGGCGUAAAGCGUGCGCAGGCGGUUAUAUAAGACAGUUGUGAAAUCCCUGGGCUCAACCUAGGAAUUGCAUCUGUGACUGUAUAGCUAGAGUACGGUAGAGGGGGAUGGAAUUCCGCGUGUAGCAGUGAAAUGCGUAGAUAUGCGGAGGAACACCGAUGGCGAAGGCAAUCCCCUGGACCUGUACUGACGCGCAUGCACGAAAGCGUGGGGAGCAAACAGG
Molecule: ribosomal RNA, 253 nt
Filed under: uncultured bacterium
Lineage: Bacteria
Description: partial 16S ribosomal RNA
Rfam family: Bacterial small subunit ribosomal RNA
Source: RNAcentral